UACCAGCUCUCCGAGUGGUAGGGAUGAUUAUUGGGCUUAAAGCGUCCGUAGCCGGCUUAGCAAGUUUCCUGUUAAAUUCAGCGACCUAAUCGUUGAGCCGCGGGAAAUACUACUAGGCUAGGAGGCGGGAGAGGUCGACGGUACCUCUGGGGUAGGGGUGAAAUCCUAUAAUCCCGGGAGGACCACCAGUGGCGAAGGGCUGUCGACUAGAACGCGCUCGACGGUGAGGGACGAAAGCUGGGGGAGCGAACCGGAUUAGAUACCCGGGUAGUCCCAGCUGUAAACGAUGCGGGCUAGGUGUUGGGGUGGCUACGUGCCACUUCAGUGCCGCAGGGAAGCCAUUAAGCCCGCCGCCUGGGGAGUACGGCCGCAAGGCUGAAACUUAAAGGAAUUGGCGGGGAGCACCACAAGGCGUGAAGCUUGCGGUUC
This 429-nucleotide ribosomal RNA is filed under the name uncultured archaeon. RNAcentral's name for it is "bacterial SSU rRNA". It matches the Rfam family "Archaeal small subunit ribosomal RNA", at positions 474 to 903 of the family's 1478-position model. The record is from RNAcentral.